GCAAGUCGAGCGGACCGACGGGAGCUUGCUCCCUUAGGUCAGCGGCGGACGGGUGAGUAACACGUGGGUAACCUGCCUGUAAGACUGGGAUAACUCCGGGAAACCGGGGCUAAUACCGGAUGCUUGAUUGAACCGCAUGGUUCAAUCAUAAAAGGCGGCUUCGGCUGCCGUUUACAGAUGGACCCGCGGCGCAUUAGCUAGUUGGUGAGGUAACGGCUCACCAAGGCGACGAUGCGUAGCCGACCUGAGAGGGUGAUCGGCCACACUGGGACUGAGACACGGCCCAGACUCCUACGGGAGGCAGCAGUAGGGAAUCUUCCGCAAUGGACGAAAGUCUGACGGAGCAACGCCGCGUGAGUGAUGAAGGUUUUCGGAUCGUAAAGCUCUGUUGUUAGGGAAGAACAAGUACCGUUCGAAUAGGGCGGUACCUUGACGGUACCUAACCAGAAAGCCACGGCUAACUACGUGCCAGCAGCCGCGGUAAUACGUAGGUGGCAAGCGUUGUCCGGAAUUAUUGGGCGUAAAGCGCGCGCAGGCGGUUUCUUAAGUCUGAUGUGAAAGCCCCCGGCUCAACCGGGGAGGGUCAUUGGAAACUGGGGAACUUGAGUGCAGAAGAGGAGAGUGGAAUUCCACGUGUAGCGGUGAAAUGCGUAGAGAUGU
RNAcentral lists this ribosomal RNA (660 nucleotides) under Bacillus sp. PSu2_12. RNAcentral describes it as "bacterial SSU rRNA". It matches the Rfam family "Bacterial small subunit ribosomal RNA", at positions 57 to 699 of the family's 1533-position model. The record is from RNAcentral. Lineage: Bacteria; Bacillati; Bacillota; Bacilli; Caryophanales; Bacillaceae.